RNAcentral lists this ribosomal RNA (457 nucleotides) under uncultured Bacteroidota bacterium. RNAcentral's name for it is "bacterial SSU rRNA". It matches the Rfam family "Bacterial small subunit ribosomal RNA", at positions 923 to 1382 of the family's 1533-position model. Lineage: Bacteria; Pseudomonadati; Bacteroidota. The record is from RNAcentral.
GCACAAGCGGAGGAGCAUGUGGUUUAAUUCGAUGAUACGCGAGGAACCUUACCUGGGCUUAAAUGCUUAAUGACGUACUGGGAAACUGGUAUUUCUUCGGACAUUUUGCAAGGUGCUGCAUGGUUGUCGUCAGCUCGUGCCGUGAGGUGUCGGGUUAAGUCCCAUAACGAGCGCAACCCCUAUUGUUAGUUGCCAUCAGGUCAUGCUGGGGACUCUAACAAAACUGCCCGCGUAAGCGUGGAGGAAGGUGGGGAUGACGUCAAAUCAGCACGGCCCUUACGUCCAGGGCUACACACGUGCUACAAUGGCCGGUACAGAGGGCAGCCACUUGGUGACAAGGAGCAAAUCUCAAAAGCCGGUCUCAGUUCGGAUCGGAGUCUGCAACUCGACUCCGUGAAGUUGGAUUCGCUAGUAAUCGUAGAUCAGCAAUGCUACGGUGAAUACGUUCCCGGGCCUU